AUUCUUCAUUUUCUUCGUCUUCGAUACAUGCUGUGAGCUUGGGGGGAGGAACCGCUUGUAUCGAAGACGAAGAAAAUG
Bodo saltans is the source of this 78-nucleotide non-coding RNA. The record is from the annotation of a GenBank genome assembly. Lineage: Eukaryota; Euglenozoa; Kinetoplastea; Eubodonida; Bodonidae.